AUUGAACGCUGGCGGCAUGCUUUACACAUGCAAGUCGAACGGCAGCGCGGGCUUCGGCCUGGCGGCGAGUGGCGAACGGGUGAGUAAUGCAUCGGAACGUGCCCAGUAGUGGGGGAUAGCCCGGCGAAAGCCGGAUUAAUACCGCAUACGACCUGAGGGUGAAAGCGGGGGACCGAAAGGCCUCGCGCUAUUGGAGCGGCCGAUGUCGGAUUAGCUAGUUGGUGGGGUAAAGGCUUACCAAGGCGACGAUCCGUAGCUGGUCUGAGAGGACGACCAGCCACACUGGGACUGAGACACGGCCCAGACUCCUACGGGAGGCAGCAGUGGGGAAUUUUGGACAAUGGGGGCAACCCGGAUCCAGCCAUGCCGCGUGCGGGAAGAAGGCCUUCGGGUUGUAAACCGCUUUUGUUCGGGAAGAAAUCCUCUGGGCUAAUACCCCGGGGGGAUGACGGUACCGGAAGAAUAAGCACCGGCUAACUACGUG
This 484-nucleotide ribosomal RNA is filed under the name uncultured bacterium. RNAcentral's name for it is "partial 16S ribosomal RNA". It matches the Rfam family "Bacterial small subunit ribosomal RNA", at positions 28 to 507 of the family's 1533-position model. The record is from RNAcentral.